GUGUGGCGUGUCUCUGAACCCCCUCGACUGUCCGAGCUUCCAUAAUACCAUCCGGACUUCUCCAACAAUGAGCUUCUCAAUCCAUCUACCGGGCUGCUCCAAAGGCUCUCUGGGCUUCACUAUCGGCUAACCUUCUACAGUGGUCAACUAUUCUUCGAACUUCUUCCAGACUUCGUCAAUAUCCGAGCUUCUCCGACAACAAGAUUUCUACA
RNAcentral lists this long non-coding RNA (212 nucleotides) under Elaeis guineensis (African oil palm). RNAcentral's name for it is "long non-coding RNA (EGUI_LNC067755)". Lineage: Eukaryota; Viridiplantae; Streptophyta; Magnoliopsida; Arecales; Arecaceae. The record is from RNAcentral.